This 1014-nucleotide ribosomal RNA is filed under the name Photobacterium sp. GB-210. RNAcentral's name for it is "bacterial LSU rRNA". It matches the Rfam family "Bacterial large subunit ribosomal RNA", at positions 696 to 1710 of the family's 2925-position model. Lineage: Bacteria; Pseudomonadati; Pseudomonadota; Gammaproteobacteria; Vibrionales; Vibrionaceae. The record is from RNAcentral.
AUAGUUGCUAGGAUUAGACCCGAAACCGAGUGAUCUAGCCAUGGGCAGGUUGAAGGUGAGGUAACACUUACUGGAGGACCGAACCGACUAAUGUUGAAAAAUUAGCGGAUGACUUGUGGCUAGGGGUGAAAGGCCAAUCAAACUCGGAGAUAGCUGGUUCUCCCCGAAAGCUAUUUAGGUAGCGCCUCGGACGAAUACUACUGGGGGUAGAGCACUGUUAAGGCUAGGGGGUCAUCCCGACUUACCAACCCUUUGCAAACUCCGAAUACCAGUAAGUACUAUCCGGGAGACACACGGCGGGUGCUAACGUCCGUCGUGAAGAGGGAAACAACCCAGACCGCCAGCUAAGGUCCCAAAGUUAUAGCUAAGUGGGAAACGAUGUGGGAAGGCUCAGACAGCCAGGAUGUUGGCUUAGAAGCAGCCAUCAUUUAAAGAAAGCGUAAUAGCUCACUGGUCGAGUCGGCCUGCGCGGAAGAUUUAACGGGGCUAAGCUAUACACCGAAGCUGCGGCAAUGAAGUUUACUUCAUUGGGUAGGGGAGCGUUCUGUAAGCCGUUGAAGGUGAAUCGUAAGGUUUGCUGGAGGUAUCAGAAGUGCGAAUGCUGACAUGAGUAACGAUAAAGGGAGUGAAAAACUCCCUCGCCGGAAGAUCAAGGGUUCCUGUCCAACGUUAAUCGGGGCAGGGUAAGUCGACCCCUAAGGCGAGGCCGAAAGGCGUAGUCGAUGGGAAACGGGUUAAUAUUCCCGUACUUCUUAUAAUUGCGAUGGAGGGACGGAGAAGGCUAGGUGAGCCUGGCGACGGUUGUCCAGGUCCAAGUAUGUAGGCUGAUGGUUUAGGCAAAUCCGGACCAUCUUAAGGCUGAGAUACGAUGUCGAGUCACUACGGUGACGAAGUCAUUGAUGCCAUGCUUCCGGGAAAAGCUUCUAAGCUUCAGAUUAUAAGAAAUCGUACCCCAAACCGACACAGGUGAUCAGGUAGAGAAUACCAAGGCGCUUGAGAGAACUCGGGUGAAGG